This is a long non-coding RNA of Oryzias melastigma (Indian medaka), 908 nucleotides long. RefSeq lists it as uncharacterized. The transcript has 2 exons. The record is from RefSeq and is a predicted model, not a curated record. NCBI's taxonomy places the organism in Eukaryota, Metazoa, Chordata, Actinopteri, Beloniformes, Adrianichthyidae.
GACCUUUGGAGGACCACAGUACUCAUCAAUAAAAAACAAAUCUUAGUAAUUAGUUAUUGAAAAUCCAUAAUAAAUAAAAGAGAGAGCACCAUGGAACAACACAAAUCCUGUUGUGCUUGAUUAUUUUUUCAUUUUCUUGCAGCCAUUUAAAUGAAGAAUUGUUGGAUUCGAUGUAGGAAUUUCGGAUUUUUAGUGUUGAAAUCUGUCCGAACCCCUUCAGUACACAAGCAAAGAAACUGAUCAAACUUUUAUGGCAUAUGAAGAAUAUCGGUUGUCUUGUGGAGAGAGUAAAAAGCUAUUUCUGUGCUUCUGUUUGCUAACUUGGAGCAUAAAAAUAAUGUAUGGUGCCAGGCAGCGUUCGAUCACCCACCUGGCAGAAAAAAGGCUCUCCACCGACUUCUGGGAUUGGUCGGAGGUCACAGAGGGACUCCUUUGGGAGACUUGGAGAAAAACAGAAAGCAGAGGAAGAAAACAAGGAAUAAGGAAGAUUUUUUUAUCUUUACAGAUUUCACUUUUAGUCACUAACAGAGGUUUGACUUCACUAAAACGUCCUUUUUAAAAAAAAAAUAAAAGCACCUUUAUGCUUGUUUUUUAAGUUCAUCAAUAGCAGAGAAAAACACUGAAACCUUCUUUUGUUAUUAACACAUUCUGCGCUCGCCCAGGAGAUGAAAAACCUGUCAGUCUCAUGUCAAAGGUCUUUGUGAUGAUGUCCCCGAGCAGCAGAUCUGUUCUCCUCACCCUCUGUGAAGCUGCACCUCUCCCAGCCAGCGGAGGACGGAGUGCUGCACGGUGAGGCGCCAUCCUCUCCAUCUGAGAACGUCAACAUGUCAGCAACUACUUUCAGAAAUUUUCCCCAAAACAGACUCUAACCAGUAAUAAUGUUCAUGUUAAACUAAAAAGAAAAAAAA